GGCGAGAUGGCCGAGGGGUCUAUGGGGGUGAUUUAAGGCACCAGUCUCUUCGGAGGCGUGGGUUCGAAUCCCACUCCCGUCA
Toxocara canis (dog roundworm) is the source of this 82-nucleotide transfer RNA. It matches the Rfam family "tRNA". Rfam says of the family: Transfer RNA (tRNA) molecules are approximately 80 nucleotides in length. Their secondary structure includes four short double-helical elements and three loops (D, anti-codon, and T loops). NCBI's taxonomy places the organism in Eukaryota, Metazoa, Nematoda, Chromadorea, Rhabditida, Toxocaridae. The record is from Rfam.